RNAcentral lists this ribosomal RNA (686 nucleotides) under uncultured rumen bacterium. RNAcentral's name for it is "bacterial SSU rRNA". It matches the Rfam family "Bacterial small subunit ribosomal RNA", at positions 43 to 721 of the family's 1533-position model. The record is from RNAcentral.
CAGGCCUAACACAUACAAGUCGAGGGGCAGCAGGGAGUAGCAAUACUCCGCUGGCGACCGGCAGACGGGUGCGUAACGCGUAUGCAACCUGCCCCGUACAGGGGGAUAACCGUUGGAAACGGCGACUAAUACCCCGUAACACGCGUCCUCGCAUGGGGGUGCGUUGAAAGCCUUGGCGGUACGGGAUGGGCAUGCGUGGCAUUAGGUAGUUGGCGGGGCAACGGCCCACCAAGCCAUCGAUGCCUAGGGGAGCUGAGAGGCUAAUCCCCCACACUGGUACUGAGACACGGACCAGACUCCUACGGGAGGCAGCAGUGAGGAAUAUUGGUCAAUGGAGGGAACUCUGAACCAGCCAUGCCGCGUGAGGGAAGAAGGCCCUACGGGUUGUAAACCUCUUUUAGCCGGGGGUAAUAAGCGUCGUGCGCGGCGCGAUGAAAGUACCGGCGGAAUAAGCAUCGGCUAACUCCGUGCCAGCAGCCGCGGUAAUACGGAGGAUGCGAGCGUUAUCCGGAUUUAUUGGGUUUAAAGGGUGCGCAGGCUGUGCAGUAAGUCAGCGGUGAAAGACCACGGCUCAACCGUGGGGCUGCCGUUGAUACUGCUGCGCUGGAGUACGAGCGGCGCCGGCGGAAUGUGUCAUGUAGCGGUGAAAUGCAUAGAGAUGACACAUAACACCCGAUCGCGAAAGG